AGACUGAAGAACGACUGCCCACCCCCUGAAAAAAUUUCCAUCGUUCUCACUCUAAUUUUGACAUGAAAAAGCAGCCAAACUUCCUAAUUCUAAAGAACCCAGCCGCACCCCACCUCUCUUCAACAUUCUAGCCGCAACUCCCAAAACACCAGCGACACAGACCUCUGCCUAACCAAUUCUUAAAAUUGAAACACUCCCAAAAAUGAGUUAUCUUCCCCAAGUUAAAAUUUAGUAAAUGAAUCCCUAUUUUUUAGUUCCAUUACUCACUGUAUUUCCAAAAUCCCUAACAAAUAAAGAGAGCAACAAGCAGCGACACAUCACUUGAAGAGAAGGACCUAACUGAGCUGCAAUGAUUGAUAAAUUUGUGCAUAUUGGUUCAUAGCUUUGAGCUCACAAAUUUUAAAAUAUGUUCUUAAAAAGAAAUGGAAGAUGUUUCGCUCACAUUGAAUUCUUCUAAUUCUUUGUUUAGCUCACGUUGAGAUUUCACAAAUCCAACACUUUGUCUUCUUAAAAUUCCAAUAAAUCCAAACCAAAAAAUAUAGACUGCGUUUCUUCUUUCCGAUUUGGACUGUGAUUCCCAAAUAUGGAGUUUGACUGUGAUGUUGUUGAGGUGAGUCCGAGCUCGGUUUGGUGAGAUCAGCUCGUCCACGGUUUCGCUUCGGAGUUCGUCAACUCUGUUUGAGGUGACGUACAAGGAGCCGUACAAAGUUUUAGGUCUGAAAGUACGGAUUGCACUCUUUUUCCCUUGAACCGGUUUUGUCCCAAAUGGGUUUUACGGCAAGGUUUUAACGAGCAACAGUAGAUCGUGCUAACUUAGAAUAGAAGACCGGCCAUGAAUCGGUGUUAAGGAUCGCAUCAACAGUAUCCGAGGCUUCUCCCUAUAAUCAACCUCGAAUACUAGGGGGCGUUACCCUCCAAUAUCGACUUUAGGCAAGGAAAUUACUUCGUGAUGGAAGGGUCUCGAUAGGUAGGAUUUAUUGUAAGGGCCAAAUGAUCAAACGAACCGUGCCCGCAUAGAUUGCUCGAGCCCUAACAUAAAGCAUGUAUGCAUGUAUAACUGGUUUGCACUAGAAUAAAGAGAAGUAUCUUCCUUGCAA
Nicotiana tabacum (common tobacco) is the source of this 1097-nucleotide long non-coding RNA. RefSeq lists it as uncharacterized. The record is from RefSeq and is a predicted model, not a curated record. Lineage: Eukaryota; Viridiplantae; Streptophyta; Magnoliopsida; Solanales; Solanaceae.